This 505-nucleotide ribosomal RNA is filed under the name uncultured bacterium. RNAcentral describes it as "partial 16S ribosomal RNA". It matches the Rfam family "Bacterial small subunit ribosomal RNA", at positions 28 to 507 of the family's 1533-position model. The record is from RNAcentral.
GACGAACGCUGGCGGCGUGCCUAAUACAUGCAAGUAGAACGCACAGUUUAUACCGUAGCUUGCUACACCAUAGACUGUGAGUUGCGAACGGGUGAGUAACGCGUAGGUAACCUGCCUGGUAGCGGGGGAUAACUAUUGGAAACGAUAGCUAAUACCGCAUAAUAUUGAUUAUUGCAUGAUAAUUAAUUGAAAGGUGCAAUUGCACCACUACCAGCUGGACCUGCGUUGUAUUAGCUAGUAGGUGAGGUAACGGCUCACCUAGGCGACGAUACAUAGCCGACCGGAGAGGGUGAUCGGCCACACUGGGACUGAGACAGGGCCCAGACGCCUACGGGAGGCAGCAGUAGGGAAUCGUCGGCAAUGGACGAAAGUCUGACCGAGAAAGGCCGCGUGAGUGAAGAAGGUUUUCGGAUCGUAAAGCUCGGUUGUAAGAGAAGAACGGGUGUGAGAGUGGAAAGUUCACACUGUGACGGUAUCUUAACAGAAAGGGACGGCUAACUACGUG